CUCCCUCUAAUCGCUAGCUUUUAGAGGCGAAUUCUAAAAUAAGAAACAAAUGGUACCAGAGCUUCCACUAUGCCUCCCAAUUACGAUCAGCUUCCACUAUGCCUCCCAAUUACAAUCAUAUAAUUGUCAAGACUAGGUGGAACACCAUAUUACCGUAUUAUGAUCGAUGUUGGCAGUAUGAGAUGCUAAUCUGAGGUAUACCGGUAGAAUGGGAUGCUAGGUAUUAUGGGUGAGUUCUGCUAACGCACGUAAUACUCUCUCUCGCUCUCUCUCCAAUCUCCCGGCCCUGUUAGGGCUGUAAACGCCCCACCCAACCCAAUUGAAAAACAAUGCCCCAAAUUGGAACCUUCAGACUAUUCUUUUCGAGCGGUUACUCAUCUCCUCUCUCCUUUCCCUUCAAGCUUUCAUUCUCUUCUUCUCUUCUGAACAAGUCCAAAACCCUUCAAAAACCUCUCUCUUUUGCCACUGUUUCCUCUUCUUCUGUAAGAAGAGAACGAAAGGUUCCUCCGCCCAGGACUAGAGGCAAUAGUACCCUCCGAGAAGCUAAGAACGAGAAACCGAUGGAGGAGGCCAAGUCUGUCAUGUUCAAUAAGAGGAGAGCUGAAGGGAAAGAUAAGAGUGACAAGCCCAGGACCCUUCAGUUGAAGGUUCGGAAAUUGAAUCCAGUUAACACCAUAUGUUAUGUUCAGAUUUUAGGUACUGGGAUGGAUACGCAGGAUACAUCGCCAUCAGUUCUACUAUUUUUUGACAAGCAAAGAUUUAUAUUUAAUGCAGGAGAGGGGUUGCAGCGGUUCUGUACUGAGCAUAAGAUUAAGUUAUCAAAGAUCGAUCACAUGUUCCUUUCCCGCGUAUGCUCAGAAACUGCAGGUGGACUUCCAGGUCUUCUACUGACUUUGGCUGGCAUGGGAGAGGAAGGAAUGUCUGUUAACAUGUGGGGCCCCUCUGAUCUCAAAUAUUUAAUUGAUGCUAUGCGUUCAUUUAUUCCAAAUGCUGCCAUGGUUCACACCCAUGGUUUUGGGCCAGCACCAAGUGCCAAAGGAUCUGCAGUCUCUGAUAUGGGGAAGUUUACAGACCCCAUUGUUCUCAUUGAUGAUGAGGUUGUUAAGAUAUCUGCAAUUCUCCUACGGCCAAGUUGCUUUGAGGGGCAUCAAGUCAUGAGUGAAGAUUCCACUUUAUUGAAUCCUUCUGUAGGUCCGCAGGAGAAAAAGGAUCAGUUUAUGAAACCCCUUUUACCACAUCCAAAAAGUCCAGAUAGAAAAGUUCUACCAGUGCUGAAGCCUGGUGACGUUUCUGUAGUUUAUGUUUGUGAGUUGCCUGAAAUUAAGGGGAAGUUUGACCCAGCAAAAGCUGCGGCCCUUGGAUUGAAACCUGGUCCAAAAUAUCGUGAACUACAACUUGGGAACUCAGUCAAGUCAGAUCGUCAAAAUAUUAUGGUUCAUCCAAGUGAUGUGCUUGGUCCUUCGGUUCCUGGCCCAAUUGUACUCCUUGUCGACUGCCCUACAUUAUCUCAUUUACAAGAGUUGUUGUCUGUAGAAUCUCUAAGUCCUUACUAUGCUGAUUCUCUGGACGACAAGCUGGAUGAUGUUAAGUCUGUAAAUUGUGUAAUUCACCUGAGUCCAGCUUUUGUUACAAAGACUCCUGAUUACCAGAAAUGGAUGAAAAGAUUUGGUGGGGCCCAACAUAUCAUGGCUGGACAUGAAAUAAAGAACUUGGAAGUUCCAAUUCUAAAAUCUAGUGCAAGAAUUUCAGCAAGGCUUAAUUACCUGUGUCCUCAGUUCUUUCCAGCCCCUGGUUUUUGGUCUCUUCAGCACCUUAACAACUUUGAACCAUACACUUUUUCUAUAAAUGAGUUGGUUUCUUCUUUCCAGGGUUCUGUUCCAAAGCUUUGUGAAGGCAUUUCUGCUGAAAAUCUUCUGAAGUUUACUCUGCGUCCAUAUGCACAGAUUGGGUUGGAUAAAUCUGUUAUUCCAAGCUCAUUGACACCAACAGAGGUCAUUGAUGAACUUAUCUCAGAGAUUCCUGAGAUUACAGAUGCUGCAGAACAAAUUAGCCAGAUAUGGUGCAAGUCCCAAGAAUCUAAAAGACUAUCACCUGUGCAAGAUGAUGUAGUUAUGAUUGAAGAACCAUGGAUAAAUGAGAAUACUUCUAAACCUGAUAAGAUAUCAAGGGAGGAGAUCCCAUGUCUGGAUGCCACUGACAUGGAUGAAGUUAAUAAUGAUCAAACUGUUCCUAGUUGUCUGGAGAAUAUCACACGAGAGGACAUGGAAAUUGUUCUUCUGGGAACCGGUUCUUCACAGCCAUCCAAAUACCGCAAUGUUAGUUCAGUCUAUAUUAAUCUUUUCUCAAAAGGAAGUUUACUGUUGGACUGUGGUGAAGGGACACUGGGUCAACUAAAGAGGAGAUAUGGUGUAAAGGGUGCUGACAAUGCUGUGAGAAGAUUGGAAUUUAUUUGGAUUUCUCAUAUUCAUGCUGAUCAUCAUACCGGUCUAGCAAGAAUACUUGCUCUUCGUCGAGAGUUGUUAAAGGAAGUUGCUCAUGAACCAUUACUUGUUAUUGGGCCAAGGAAGCUUAAAAGAUUUUUGGAUGCGUACCAAAAACUUGAGGAUCUAGAUAUGCAGUUCCUUGACUGCAGGCACACAACAGAAGCUUCAUUGGAUGCCUUCAAGGAUGCUCUUGAAUCUAAUCAAAAUAACUUCACGUCAGGAACUGAUGUUGAAAACUUGAAUAGCAGAGAUGGACAAGGUGUUGCAGUGCAAAAUAUUGAGACAACCUUGUUUGCAAGAGGCAGCCCCAUGCAGAGCUUUUGGAAGAGACCUAGCAGUCCAGUUGACUCUGGUAUGACCUUUGAGCUCCUAAAGAACUUGAAGAAGGUUCUUGGUGAAGCAGGUUUGGAGGCUCUGGUCAGUGUGCCUGUUGUGCAUUGUCCACAGGCAUUUGGUGUUGUCCUGAAGGCGGCAGAUAGAGUCAACACUGUUGGAAAAACUAUUCCAGGUUGGAAGCUUGUCUACUCUGGUGACACUAGGCCCUGUCCUGAACUGAUAGCCGCAUCUCAGGGAGCAACAGUUCUUAUACAUGAGGCAACAUUUGAGGAUGGAAUGGCAGAGGAAGCUAUUGCAAGGAAUCACAGCACAACAAAAGAAGCCAUUGAAGUGGGAGCCUCGGCAGAUGUAUACCGCAUCAUUCUUACACAUUUCAGUCAGAGAUACCCAAAAAUCCCAGUUUUUGAUGAGAAACACAUGCAUAAAACAUGUAUUGCUUUUGACAUGAUGAGUGUGAACAUAGCAGAUUUACCUGUUCUUCCAAGGGUUCUUCCAUAUCUGAAACUCCUCUUUAAAAAUGAAAUAAUGGCUGAUGAAUUUGAUGAAGUCAUUGGUUCAGAAACAUGAAAACAAUGUUCAGAAACUCCUCUUUAAAAAGUGGGAAAGAAUUUUUUUUCUUGAGUAGUAUGGUUUCUAGCUUAAAUUACCACUAACAUUGCCUCAUGUGUGAUCCAAUGUCAACCAACAAGCAGAAAAAAUUUCCAACAUCGCCUAUGCAUGAUAGAUGAAGGCCUUGUUUGGCAAGUCUUUUUGAAAGAUCUUUUGGGCUUUUAGAAGUCUAGUAGACCAAAAAUGGUAUUUUCAUGUUUGGCUAGUAAAAGCCCACUAGACCAAAAGACAGAUCCCGAAAAAGACCCUGAAAGACCAAAGUGGUUUGGAUCUGAGAGGCUCCAAGCCAAGCUUAUGGUCUAUUUGGGCUUCUCAGCUUCCCGAUACUUUGAGAAAAAUUCGACAGAGAAACUCUGACUCCAGCAACUACACAGGCCUUAAGCCUUCUGAAUGGAGACCAGACAAUUGAAAAACAUAGUCUUCCAGAAAAGCCAUCUAGUGUGGGAGCAAAACCCCCUACUGUUCAGAUACCUGAUUUAAUAGAUACUGGUGACUCGGAUGAUUAUUAUUGGAGAUAGUUCAGCUACUGGCUUGAGCACCAAUGGACAUAAGACUGAAGCGGACCCAUUUGCAGAUGUCUCAUUUCAUACAACUGAAGAUAGAGAACCUGUCAAUGACCUAUUUUCAGGGUUGGUGGUUGGUGAUAAAAAGGCUGCUAAUGAAAUCCGCAUGCAAGCAAAUAAAAAUUGAGCACAACUAUUGGAUAUUUUUGGUUCCAUUUCUGAUUCAGAACAAUCAGGUGAUAAAGGGAGUAUAGAUAAUUUAACGGCUGGUUUAUCUGUAGCUGACAAGAGAUCAGAGACUAAGAAACUAAGGAAGCUUCUCCGGGUUGUUUUCAGAAGCUACCCUCUCAAACCCAAGCAUUCAACCAAGUCAUUCGGCAUCAAAUGAUUCUUUGAAUAGCAUAUUUAAUUCUCAAAUGGUUGGAAUGAAUCAAAGUGCUAUGUUUUUAGGUCCCAUGUACAACGCAUCUCCUAACAUGAUGUUCAACCCAGCUUUCGCUUCACAGCCAAUGAAUUUUAUUCUGCUA
This is a non-coding RNA of Nelumbo nucifera (sacred lotus), 4458 nucleotides long. The record is from RefSeq and is a predicted model, not a curated record. NCBI's taxonomy places the organism in Eukaryota, Viridiplantae, Streptophyta, Magnoliopsida, Proteales, Nelumbonaceae.